CCUCGCGCGGCGGGCCCGGAUCUUCGCCACCGCCGUCAUUUGUGGGCGGAGAAAGGGCUGGAGAAAGGCGGGAAUCGCCCCUCGUCCCUCGCCGUGCGUUUCCCUGGACUUAAGGGCCGAAGGGACACCGGCGACUUGACCUCCUGAUUGCAGGGAGAGGCUCCUCCGUGCUCCUGAGAGGCCGAACACAGGGUCGCCAGCACAGCUUACUGCUCGGUGUCUCCUGAGCCACAGAGGAAGACGUGGCAGGAGCACCUGGUGCUAAUAUAUAUUCAUGUCUAUGGCAAUGCCGACCAUCUGGCUGGUCUGAACCAGGAUAAAAGUGAAGAAUUCCUCUGUGAAGACCCAGCUCUUUCUUUGGCUCCUUUUUUGAAGCCAUCUUUGCUCUGCUCUCCUCUGCUGCCCAGAAAGUUCCAGAGUGAAGCUCAGCUCUAGAUGAACAAAAACUGGUUGAGUCCAGAGAUGCCUGAGUUGGAGAUGAACCUUGCAAACUUUCCUCAUUACCAUACUAAAAACCCCACCCAGGAAGGAGCUUAUCUGCCAUUUCCUACACAUGUGACAUAUGGAGAAGCAUGAUCAGCUACUUCACAGUCUCUGCCUUUACUCUGCCUCCGCAUACAAUGGCUCAGCCAACUAGCCUAACGAAAGCUGUUUUCACCAUUGUUUGGGAGGUACUGCUUUGGGAAACUGCCCCAGCUGUCCUCCUUACUUGUUGUAGGUAAUAAAAUCCCUUUGUUAAAUCUUCCUUGGUUGUGGUCUUUGGACUGUCACCCACCAAGUGAUAAAACCCACCCAUUGUGUGGGUAACAAUAUUAUCUAAAAUUCAAUAUGUAAAUGCUGGAG
This 843-nucleotide long non-coding RNA is filed under the name Homo sapiens (human). RNAcentral's name for it is "HSALNT0386909". The record is from RNAcentral. Lineage: Eukaryota; Metazoa; Chordata; Mammalia; Primates; Hominidae.